AUGAAAACCUCAAAUAAUUAGUGCUUUUAAAAGCAUGGUGUCUUGUCUAUUAUUGCAUGCAAUGUUGAAUCAUUAGAGUCUGUGAUUUCCUCAUGAAGCUCUUCACAGUGCACUGAACACAUGCAGUACAGCUUGUGACUGAGCAGAAGUGGCUUUGAAUGUCUCUAAAUGUCUAGAUACAUUUACAGGUUGGAUUCCAGCAGGAUGGCUGAUGGCAGCGGUUGACGACUAGUGGCUUUUCAACUAAGGAUUUGAAGCCAACUUAGACGUGGUCUCCAGCCCAUGAAUCAACACGACGGUUGCCAUGAUGCCAGAAUGAUGUGCCAAUGAUGAGCAUAUUCCUUUGAAUCUGUCCCUGUAAGUUGGUGCAAUGGCAGAAGAGUUGUGGUGCCCGGUUUGCAGCACAAUGGUGAACUAAAGCUCCUCUGUAGUUAUUGUAACUUAUACACUUGUGUUUCUAUGUCAUUCCAAGGACAGUUUGAGAAAGUAACUGCUUGUUUUUGACUUCUCAGUUCUGUGUGUAUGCUGCUUUUUCUAAAAAUGUACAGUUUUCUUUUACAUUUAAUAAAAAUCACUAUUACAGCUCA
This 587-nucleotide long non-coding RNA is filed under the name Sinocyclocheilus grahami. Its description in RNAcentral is "lncRNA (ENSSGRG00000014821.1)". The record is from RNAcentral. Lineage: Eukaryota; Metazoa; Chordata; Actinopteri; Cypriniformes; Cyprinidae.